AUGGCGGGCGCUCUCGCAAUCGCGUCCGCCGCCGGUUCUUACGACCGCGAUUGGGCGGGGCUGCCGGAGGAAAUACUCCUGAUGUUCAUGCGGGAGCUGGAGAUCCCCGACCUCGUCCGCUCAGGUGCUGUCUGCGCCUCGUGGCAUGCUGCUUACCUAGNNNNNNGCCGCCAUCGCUUCCCCCUUCCGAUCCCCCGGAAUCAGCUCCCCUGCCUGGUCUACGCAUGCCGCAAUUCCGCCGCAGACGGCGCCGUCGUCUGCUGCCCCUUCACCGGCGACUCCGUCCGAGUCCCCCUGCCGCAGCCCCCGCUCACCCGCCACUCCACGGUCGGCUCCGCGCACGGCUGGCUCGUCACCGCCGACGAGGCCUCCAACCUCCACCUCCUCAAUCCUAUCACGGGCGCCCACGUCGCGCUCCCGCCCAUCGCCACUCUCCACCACGUCGAGAGCUGCACCGACGCCCAAGGCCGCCUCAUGUACAACGUCUUCGACAGGGGCGAUCCCGAGCCGACCCCCUUUGACGCGCGCGAGGCCAGGGACUGCAUGUACCACCGUGUCACCCUCUCCUGCAGCCCGGCGGCUGGGAGCGCCUGCAUCGUGCUGCUGGUGCACAUGCCGAUCGGCGAGCUCUCCUACGCCCCGCUCGGCGACGAGCGGUGGACCUGGAUCUCGCCCGACGACCACCAGCUCAUGGCCAUCAGCUGGGGCUUCAUGGACUCUUUCUACAAUGAGGAUGAUGGUUUGUUCUAUGUGCUUCGCAGCCACAGAUCGGUUUUCACCCUCAAUUUCAAUGGGCCAUCUCUUGUUGUCAAAAAGAUCAUGCGCAGAGUUAGGAAGGGGGAUGAUCCUUCUAGCAUGUACAUCAUGCAAGCUCCAUGGGGUGAUAUUUUGCAAAUAUGGAGGUGGAGGAGCUACGUCGAUUCAUCAACACCCGUGGAGCUUCCUAGAGAUCUGCUGGGUCACAACGAAGAUGACAUAGACCGGUAUAUUGAGCUCAGAACAACUGAAAUAGAGGUCUAUAAGGUGGACCUUGAGAACCAGGCACUUGUGAAGAUGACAAGCUUAGCGGAUCAUGCACUAUUCCUUGGUUAUAAUAGCUCCAUGUGCUUUGCCACUAAAGAUUUUCCAACACUGAAGCCGAACUGUGUCUAUAUCACGGAUGACUCUGUUGAGUAUGUCAACAUGUGUAAGCAUAACUGGCGAGAAAUCGGAGUUUGGGAUAUAGAAAACAAGAGUCUGCAGACUUUUGAUAGUGUUUUGCUUACUAAUUCCUGGAUGAACUGGCCUUCUCCGGUUUGGAUAACACCCUCCCUUUUCUAG
This 1320-nucleotide ribosomal RNA is filed under the name Triticum aestivum (bread wheat). Its description in RNAcentral is "partial small subunit ribosomal RNA". The record is from RNAcentral. Lineage: Eukaryota; Viridiplantae; Streptophyta; Magnoliopsida; Poales; Poaceae.